AGAACGAACGCUGGCGGCGUGGCUAAGACAUGCAAGUCGAACGGAUUAGUCAAUUGAGUAAUCGAGAGACUAAUUAGUGGCGAAAGGGUUAGUAAUGGAUAGGUAACGUACCUCGUGCAUCGGGACAGCGUCAUUCGCUUCGGCGAAUUUCCGAAAGGGGCGGUAAUACCGGAUAAUAUCAGAUAUCGAUAGAUAUCUGAUCAAAGAUUUAUCGGCACAUGAGCGGCCUAUCUCCUAUCAGCUUGUUGGUGAGGUAAGAGCUCACCAAGGCUAAGACGGGUAGCGGGACUGAGAGGUUGACCCGCAACAUCGGGACUGAGACACUGCCCGGACCUCCACGGAGGGCUGCAGUAACGAAUAUUGCGCAAUGGGCGAAAGCCUGACGCAGCGACGCCGCGUGUAGGAUGAAGCCCCUCGGGGUGUAAACUACUGUCAGGGGUAAGAAAGUGCGCUUCGGCGUAUUGAUCGAACCCAAAGGAAGUCACGGCUAACUUCGUGCCAGCAGCCGCGGUAAGACGAAGGUGGCUAGCGUUGUUCGGUGUCACUGGGCUUAAAGCGUGUGUAGGCGGAAAGGAAAGCGUUUUGUGAAAUCCCUCGGCUUAACCGGGGAAUUGCUUAGCGAACUUCUUUUCUUGAGGCAAGUAGGGGUGCAUGGAACUCUUGGUGGAGCGGUGGAAUGCGUAGAUAUCAAGAGGAACGCCAAUGGAGAAAUCAGUGCACUGGGCUUGUCCUGACGCUGAGACACGAAAGCGUGGGGAGCGAACGGGAUUAGAUACCCCGGUAGUCCACGCUGUAAACGAUGUCUACUAGGUUGUGGGUGUUCUGACGCAAUCACGACCGGAGCAAAAGUGUUAAGUAGACCGCCUGGGGAGUACGGUCGCAAGGCUA
This 888-nucleotide ribosomal RNA is filed under the name uncultured bacterium. RNAcentral describes it as "bacterial SSU rRNA". It matches the Rfam family "Bacterial small subunit ribosomal RNA", at positions 26 to 896 of the family's 1533-position model. The record is from RNAcentral.